GAUGAAGAACGCAGCGAAAUGCGAUAGGUAAUGUGAAUUGCAGAAUUCAGUGAAUCAUCGAAUCUUUGAACGCACAUUGCGCCCGCCAGUAUUCUGGCGGGCAUGCCUGUCCGAGCGUCAUUUCAACCAUCAAGCCCCGGGCUUGUGUUGGGGACCUGCGUCCGACGCAGGCCCCGAAAACCAGUGGCGGGCUCGCUGUCCACACCGAGCGUAGUAGCUAACCUCGCUCCGGAGUGGCGCGGGCGCCUGCCGUAAAACCCCCCAAUUUUACAAGGUUGACCUCGGAUCAGGUAGGAAUACCCGCUGAACUUAAGCAUAUCAAUAAGCGGAGGA
RNAcentral lists this unclassified non-coding RNA (333 nucleotides) under soil metagenome. Its description in RNAcentral is "partial contains 5.8S ribosomal RNA, internal transcribed spacer 2, and large subunit ribosomal RNA". The stretch from base 1 to 120 matches the Rfam family "5.8S ribosomal RNA", at positions 35 to 154 of the family's 154-position model. The record is from RNAcentral.